RNAcentral lists this long non-coding RNA (240 nucleotides) under Marmota monax (woodchuck). Lineage: Eukaryota; Metazoa; Chordata; Mammalia; Rodentia; Sciuridae. The record is from RNAcentral.
AAGAAACAGAAGUUUUUUCUCAGAGGCUUUACAGCCUCUGUGUGUUGCAUGCUAGAGCUAACUUCCCUUAGUCUGCCUUCCACCCUGUGCCCUACCCUUUACCACAUAUUCUGGAAAGAAGUCUCUGUAGCCGCCUUUGAGAAUAUAUAGCUCUGGAUAGUACAAGGUAGGAUACUGGUUCAGAGCUCUGUCUUCUUCUCUCAGAGAGCGGCACCUUUAGGAAAAAUCAAGAGAUUGUAG